UACGUAGGGUGCGAGCGUUAAUCGGAAUUACUGGGCGUAAAGCGUGCGCAGGCGGUUUUGUAAGCCAGAUGUGAAAUCCCCGGGCUUAACCUGGGAAUGGCAUUUGGGACUGCAAGGCUUGAGUGCGGCAGAGGAGACUGGAAUUCCUGGUGUAGCAGUGAAAUGCGUAGAUAUCAGGAGGAACACCGAUGGCGAAGGCAGGUCUCUGGGCUGACACUGACGCUCAUGCACGAAAGCGUGGGGAGCAAACGAGG
This 254-nucleotide ribosomal RNA is filed under the name uncultured bacterium. Its description in RNAcentral is "partial 16S ribosomal RNA". It matches the Rfam family "Bacterial small subunit ribosomal RNA", at positions 524 to 777 of the family's 1533-position model. The record is from RNAcentral.